Molecule: non-coding RNA, 95 nt
Organism: Characodon lateralis
Lineage: Eukaryota; Metazoa; Chordata; Actinopteri; Cyprinodontiformes; Goodeidae
Source: the annotation of a GenBank genome assembly
GCGCUGGUGGUGUAGGGGUUAAGAGCGUGACCACAUACAGAGGCUGUAGUCCUUGAGGCGGCUGUCCCGGGUUCGAGUCCCGGAUCCAGUGACCU